GACGAACGCUGGCGGCGUGCCUAAUACAUGCCAGUUGAGCGCUGAAGGUUGGUACUUGUACCAACUGGAUGAGCAGCGAACGGGUGAGUAACGCGUGGGGAAUCUGCCUUUGAGCGGGGGACAACAUUUGGAAACGAAUGCUAAUACCGCAUAAAAACUUUAAACACAAGUUUUAAGUUUGAAAGAUGCAAUUGCAUCACUCAAAGAUGAUCCCGCGUUGUAUUAGCUAGUUGGUGAGGUAAAGGCUCACCAAGGCGAUGAUACAUAGCCGACCUGAGAGGGUGAUCGGCCACAUUGGGACUGAGACACGGCCCAAACUCCUACGGGAGGCAGCAGUAGGGAAUCUUCGUCAAUGGACGAAAGUCUGACCGAGCAACGCCGCGUGAGUGAAGAAGGGUUUCGGAUCGUAAAACUCUGUUGGUAGAGAAGAACGUUGGUGAGAGUGGAAAGCUCAUCAAGUGACGGUAACUACCCAGAAAGGGACGGCUAACUACGUG
Molecule: ribosomal RNA, 497 nt
Filed under: uncultured bacterium
Lineage: Bacteria
Description: partial 16S ribosomal RNA
Rfam family: Bacterial small subunit ribosomal RNA
Source: RNAcentral